RNAcentral lists this ribosomal RNA (373 nucleotides) under uncultured organism. Its description in RNAcentral is "bacterial SSU rRNA". It matches the Rfam family "Bacterial small subunit ribosomal RNA", at positions 526 to 896 of the family's 1533-position model. The record is from RNAcentral.
CGGAGGGUGCGAGCGUUGUUCGGAAUCACUGGGCGUAAAGCGCGUGUAGGCGGCUCCUUAAGUCUGAUGUGAAAGCCCCGGGCUCAACCUGGGAAGUGCAUUGGAAACUGGGGGAACUUGAAUACGGGAGAGGGUAGUGGAAUUCCUGGUGUAGGAGUGAAAUCCGUAGAUAUCAGGAGGAACACCGGUGGCGAAGGCGGCUACCUGGACCGAUAUUGACGCUGAGACGCGAAAGCGUGGGGAGCAAACAGGAUUAGAUACCCUGGUAGUCCACGCCGUAAACGAUGAGUACUAGGUGUUGCGGGUAUUGACCCCUGCAGUGCCGCAGCUAACGCAUUAAGUACUCCGCCUGGGAAGUACGGUCGCAAGACUA